This 240-nucleotide ribosomal RNA is filed under the name uncultured bacterium. Its description in RNAcentral is "partial 16S ribosomal RNA". It matches the Rfam family "Bacterial small subunit ribosomal RNA", at positions 537 to 776 of the family's 1533-position model. The record is from RNAcentral.
AGCGUUGUUCGGAAUUACUGGGCGUAAAGAGCUCGUAGGCGGUCUGUCGCGUCUGCUGUGAAAACUCGGGGCUUAACCCCGGGCCUGCAGUGGGUACGGGCAGACUAGAGUGCGGUAGGGGAGACUGGAAUUCCUGGUGUAGCGGUGAAAUGCGCAGAUAUCAGGAGGAACACCGGUGGCGAAGGCGGGUCUCUGGGCCGUAACUGACGCUGAGGAGCGAAAGCAUGGGGAGCGAACAGG